CAAAAUGCAAUUCUUGUUUGUCGUAGCUCAAAAUACUACAACCCUGAUGGAUGUAAUCGAUAAUGAAUCUUAUCCCCAACUUUAUUCACUACAUGCAAGAUUGCGAACUUGGCUGAAUCAAAGAACACACGUUUAGUAGUUCUAUAGGUAGUGCCAUCUUCGUCCACGAUCCAACUAGCUUCAACAGAGAUAGCCUUAAGGACCUCCUUGUUGUCGCAGUGCUGGGGAAGCUUGCAGUUCCUUUGAGCUUGAAGGUCAACGUAUAUCUUAGCAGCAAUUGCUCCAAGGCCGGGGUGAUGGGAGGGGAUGAUGUAUUCCAGAUUGCAGAGAUAGGUGUAACGCUGGUCUUGUGGAACAUCGUGAGGCUUUUGGACCUGAAAGUUGGAGCUAGAUAGUGGAAGACGGGUGAAGCCAUCUGUGGGAUCAGAAGCAACCAAGGAAAGAGUUGUGAUACAAAGGAGAAAUGACAAAAAGGUUUGAUGGAAAAUGGAUUGAUACAACAUUGCUGCAGAUGAAGAUGGUUAGUUUUUUCCUCCAAUAUAUGUU
RNAcentral lists this small RNA (546 nucleotides) under Vigna angularis var. angularis. RNAcentral's name for it is "Non-protein coding transcript". The record is from RNAcentral. Lineage: Eukaryota; Viridiplantae; Streptophyta; Magnoliopsida; Fabales; Fabaceae.